AUGCAGUUAAAAUAUUUGGUUUUGCUUUAAUAAUAUAUCAAGCCAAUAGCAGAACCAUUCCAGAUGAACAUAUUCAAUUAUUUAUCCCACAAAGAUUUCUUGAGCUCCUAAAAAUUGACACUGGGACUACAGCAGUGAAAAAGGCAGAUUUUGUCUUUUUCAGAGAGACCCUCGCAAGAAGUUUAAAAUCUAGCUAGGAAGAAACAUAGCAAGCCAAUAAAAUCAUAUGCAACAAUUUGAUCAAAAGUAUGAAAUAUCAUGAAGAACCACAGUGUACUAUGAUGCAGUACAAUACAGAGUCUGACUUGAGGUAGUGAAGCAGUAAAGGUUUUCUUUGGUACAGAGUAUUUGCCAGAAUUGGCAAAUAAAAAUAUAGGACAUACAAUUAAAUUUGAAUUUCAAGUUAAAACUAUAAAUUUUUUCAAUAUGUCUCAUAUGUUGUAUUGGACAUACCGCAAAAACAAAGUUGUUUAUCUAGAAUCAAAUUUAACUGGGUAUUGUAAAUUUUAUCUGGCAAUCCAUAGUCUAGGAACUGCAAGAUGGCCAGGACUCUCUGAGCAGGUAGGAGACUGACCAAGGAUGAAUACAGAAAUUCUUCUUUGCCUCUCCCCUCCCGGCCCCCCUCCAUCUAGACUACAAAUACCUUUCAUGCAUUUAAUGUCUUGCAGUCCUCAAUAUGCCUGAGGAUAUAAUGAAGCAAUAUACAUAGAUAAAUUCCUUACCGUUCAAUGAAAACUUCUCUGUAUUCUCAAGUCGUAGCACAACACUUGGUACAGAGGUGACUUUCAGAAAGAGAAGUUCAGUGCCUAAAAACAUAUCAAUGUGGGAAUAAUGUUGCUAAGCAUCCCUUGGCUUUUGUUCCAUGACAGAAAAUUAACAUUUUGCUUAAAGGAAGAGAGGUUUGGUGAGAGGGAGGGAGAGACGUUUGGGGCAAACACCAUGGUCCCGCCCCUCAGGCCUGCUUUUCUGCUCUCCAGGCACAGCGGACUCUUAAAGAAGUUUUCAGCUGUUGGNNNNNNNNNNNNNNNNNNNNNNNNNNNNNNNNNNNNNNNNNNNNNNNNNNNNNNNNNNNNNNNNNNNNNNNNNNNNNNNNNNNNNNNNNNNNNNNNNNNNNNNNNNNNNNNNNNNNNNNNNNNNNNNNNNNNNNNNNNNNNNNNNNCUCGUAGGCUUACAAAACAGUAGGGAUGUCUCUUUCUCUAUGCCCGUUACUAAGUUCUAGUAAUACCAUCCUCAUCAAUAAAGUCAAUUUGGAAAGUAAGGAUACGUAAGAAUUAGGUCUCCAUUUUCUGAAGACAUACAGAGAGUUUUCAAAAACAAAUUAUUUUAUAUUCAAAAGCUAAGAGUUCUAAUUACCAUUCUUGUUAUAGCACAACAGAUUAAGACUUACUGGGAGAAAUAAACAUGAUUUGCGUAAUAUGUACAGUGGCUUUCUGUAGAAGUGGGGAGGGCAUUUUAUUCCUAUUUAUUCUUACCUGGACAAAACUGAACAGUAAAGCUGAUGGCUUCAAAGCAGACAGUGUGAUUGGAAUCUGAAGCCACGACCAGUGCAUUAGCCGCCUGAGACUCCCUUUUACUCAACACAUUUAUUUUCUUGUUACUACAAACCAUUUUAGAAGUUCUGGCAUAUAUUAGUCUUGUUAUAGCUAAUUAAAAUGGGAAGAAAGUAAAAAUCUGAAUUAUGCAUUUUGUUUAAGAAUACUUAUAAAUGGUUAAUAAACUAUUGUAACCUCUACAUUCUCAAGUUAAAGGAAACAAAGUCUUACUGAAUGACUGUUAAGUACUCUCCUACUUUCAGAAGGAGGCAGUCAUAUUUGAACUACUGCAAUAACAAAAUAAUCCAUGUAUUUUACUUACAGGCUUGAUUAUAAUCAUUCAGUUUAAUUUAAAAAUCAGAUUUCUUUUUCUAUUGUGUAUGCCUUUCCCACACAACUGACUAUUGUGAUACUGGCAAACUGAUGAGUUUCUGCUAUAAUCUGUCUGGCCAAGUAUCAGUUUCCACUCUUGAGAAAUGUAAUUCAUAUUUGAUGCUCCAUGGGCUUUUCAGGUGGCACCAGUGGUAAGAACCCACCUGCCAGUGCAGGAGAUCUGAUGCAGGUUUGAACCCUGGGUUGGGAAGAUCCCCUGGAGAAGGGCACGGCAACCAAUUUGUAUUCUUGCCUGGAGAAUCCCUUGGACAGAAGAGCCUGACGGGCUACAGUCCAUGAGGUUGCAAAGAGAUGGACACGACUGUAGCAACUUGGCAGAGCACAGUACAUUAAUAAUAUAACUUAGUUGUGGUAAUGAUACAUCAGUUUUAUAUCUCAUGCUCUUUGUAAAAGGAUUUACUGCAAAACAAUACAGAUAUCUGCUUCACAGUCACAGGACAGUUCAUAAUUCAUUUUAAUGCAGAGAUAGACUCUGAACCUCAUAUGAGAAAGGCUUUAUUUUACACACUGACCACGCAGCACCUGAAACAUAAUAGUUCACAUACCCUUUCACUUAAUGAGCAUAAGGAACAUGAGGAAAUGGGGCUUGUUUUGAGGUUAUCUAAUCAUUUUCUUUGAUAUGCAGAUAUUUCAAGACAAUAUAAAACUGAUAAGGUCAUCAUAUAGUUGUGUGUGUCUGUGCAUGCAUAUGUGUGUGUGUGCAUAGCUGCUUGAUCCCUUUGUGUCUAAUCAGAGCAGUAGUAGACAACUAAUGCUGUUUUGAUCACUAUUAUGAAAGGCUUUCCUAUGGGACUGGCAUCAGAAUCCUGGGGCUAUCCUUGGUAAUGAUGAGAGAGAGUGAAAAAAAUACAGCUUCUGACAUUCAGAAGUUGUCCGGACACUCACAGCAAUGCCAUGUUAUUCUAUUAGACACAAAUAUUCUCACAAAACACCAUCCUCACACAAGGUUAAUCUGAAACUAUGAUAAAAUUGAGAUCACUUAAUUUUGUCUAAGCACAAUAAAAACAACGUCAAUAAACUACCCAUAAAUAAAUGCUGCUUCUUCACUAAUCAUUUUUCCUCAUUCUCAUCUUCCCUCCCUAGAGAUACCCUCCCUAUAGAUAACCCAAGCAAAUCACUUUCUGGCAGCAUCCAAUCCAGAGAGAAUCCCUACUUUUUUAGACCUUCUUCCAAUUACCUGACCAAAGCUCAAAUCCCAUACAGGUUCAUUCUAACACCCUCUUACUGAGACAGUCCACAGUUCUCCGGGGUUGUGUGUUCUCCCUUGCGAAAUGAAUAAUAGGUCCAAUUUGUUCAGCUACAGGUAUGUUCCAGGAGGUCUUUGGCUAGAGGGCAUUGAUAAUGACAAAAACAGGAACAACAGCAACAGAAAUUAUCUAUUGCUCACUUUACUACAGCCACGAUCCUCCUUACUACUCUGAAUGCAACACACACCCCCUC
RNAcentral lists this long non-coding RNA (3365 nucleotides) under Capra hircus (goat). Its description in RNAcentral is "lncRNA (ENSCHIG00010003625.1)". The record is from RNAcentral. Lineage: Eukaryota; Metazoa; Chordata; Mammalia; Artiodactyla; Bovidae.